CCUACGGGAGGCUGCAGUGAGGAAUAUUGGUCAAUGGCCGAGAGGCUGAACCAGCCAAGUCGCGUGAGGGAAGACGGCCCUACGGGUUGUAAACCUCUUUUGUCGGGGAGCAAAGCGAGUCACGUGUGACUCAUUGAGAGUACCCGAAGAAAAAGCAUCGGCUAACUCCGUGCCAGCAGCCGCGGUAAUAUGGAGGAUGCGAGCGUUAUCCGGAUUUAUUGGGUUUAAAGGGUGCGUAGGCGGGAUGCCAAGUCAGCGGUAAAAAUGCGGUGCUCAACGCCGUCGAGCCGUUGAAACUGGCGUUCUUGAGUGGGCGAGAAGUAUGCGGAAUGCGUGGUGUAGCGGUGAAAUGCAUAGAUAUCACGCAGAACUCCGAUUGCGAAGGCAGCAUACCGGCGCCCUACUGACGCUGAGGCACGAAAGCGUGGGUAUCGAACAGGAUUAGAUACCCUUGUAGUC
This 459-nucleotide ribosomal RNA is filed under the name uncultured bacterium. RNAcentral describes it as "partial 16S ribosomal RNA". It matches the Rfam family "Bacterial small subunit ribosomal RNA", at positions 338 to 795 of the family's 1533-position model. The record is from RNAcentral.